This 450-nucleotide ribosomal RNA is filed under the name uncultured bacterium. Its description in RNAcentral is "partial 16S ribosomal RNA". It matches the Rfam family "Bacterial small subunit ribosomal RNA", at positions 354 to 796 of the family's 1533-position model. The record is from RNAcentral.
GUGGGGAAUUUUGGACAAUGGGCGAAAGCCUGAUCCAGCAAUGCCGCGUGUGUGAAGAAGGCCUUCGGGUUGUAAAGCACUUUUGGCAGGGAAGAAACAGUGCGUGCUAAUACCAUGCGCGAAUGACGGUACCUGCAGAAUAAGCACCGGCUAACUACGUGCCAGCAGCCGCGGUAAUACGUAGGGUGCAAGCGUUAAUCGGAAUUACUGGGCGUAAAGCGUGCGCAGGCGGCUUUGUAAGACGGAUGUGAAAGCCCCGGGCUCAACCUGGGAAGUGCAUUCGUGACUGAAAGGCUAGAGUGUGUCAGAGGGAGGUGGAAUUCCGCGUGUAGCAGUGAAAUGCGUAGAGAUGCGGAGGAACACCGAUGGCGAAGGCAGCCUCCUGGGAUAACACUGACGCUCAGGCACGAAAGCGUGGGGAGCAAACAGGAUUAGAAACCCGGGUAGUCC